Molecule: long non-coding RNA, 1273 nt
Filed under: Anas platyrhynchos platyrhynchos (common mallard)
Lineage: Eukaryota; Metazoa; Chordata; Aves; Anseriformes; Anatidae
Description: lncRNA (ENSAPLG00000028738.1)
Source: RNAcentral
GUCCUUUCACCCGGCCUGGAUGGGGUUUGGUUCCUCUUGGGAUGCGAAACCAAACCCCAAACCGGGGCUGGAACCCACCCAACGCCAGGACCCCCCCCCCGGGGCUGGUUUGGGAAGGGCGCACGGGGCUGGAUGGGGCCAGGAGGGAUUUGGGGCAGGGUGGGUGCAUGGGGUGGGCUCCGCAGCGGGGUUUUGGGGUGGUGGUGACCCCAGUGCUCAGCUUCCCACCCCCAGCCCCUCCCUCCAGGGGCUUUGGGACCCCCUGGGGACACAGCAGGGCCACGGGGGAUGCUGUGGACACCGGGAUCGCCCCCAAAGCUGGGCUCUGUAGGGCCAAGGGGACAGGGGGACGAGCCCCCACGCCCCCUCCCCUUUUUCCCCUUUUUGCUCGGUGCCCCCCACCCACACCCAGCCCCGUGGGGGGGGUGUCCCAGGGAUGGUGUCAGCACCCUGAGGGCUGUCCCCGUGCUUUGGGGCUCCCCCUGUCCCCCCCCGACCUAUUUAUGGGGCCAUCUGCUCCCGGCACAAAGCGGAUUUGGAGCCUGGUGGGAUCAGGGCCUGGGGGCUGCGGGGGGCAACACCACAGCGGCGCGGGGUGUCCGGCUGUCCCUCUGUCCGUCCCUCUGUCUGUCCGGCCCCCGGCCCCCUGCAGCCCCUGCCCCCCCCCAGCCCGUGUCCGUCCUCCCCCCGCAGCCCUUCCCCUUUCGCCCCUUUCCCCACAUUUCCAUUUUUUUCCUUUUAAGAUUUUCCGCCUCCUUUCAUUUCCUUUUUAUUCCCUUUUCAAUUCACUUUCCUUUUUAUUUCCCCCAUUUUUUAAAAAAAAUUUCUUCCCCUUUUGCCCUUUUUUAUUCCUUUCCCUUUUUUUCCUUUCCCUUAUUGCCUUUUUAUUUCCCCUUUCCUUAUUUUUUCCUUUUUUAUUUCCUUUCCCUUAUUCCCUCUUUAACCCCUUUCCCUUUUUCCCCUUUUUUCCCUUUUUUCCCUUUUUCCCCUUUUUUCCCCUUUUUUUCCCUUUUUUCCCUUUUUUCCCUUUUUUUCCCUUUUUUUCCCCUUUUUUUCCCUUUUUUUUCCCUUUUUUCCCCUUUUCCCCCUUUUUUCCUUUUUCCAUUUUUUCCCUUUUUUCCAUUUUUUUCCUUUUUCCAUUUUCUUUCAAAUUUUUCCAUUUUCUUCCCCCCCGUUUCUUGCUUUUUCCCCCUUUUCUCCCCUUUUUUCCUUUUUCUCCCCUUUUUUACCCCCCCUCUCCCCCCUUUCCCCCCCAAUUCCCUUUCAUUUCCCC